GACGAACGCUGGCGGCGUGCUUAACACAUGCAAGUCGAACGGCAAGGCCCUACUUUUGUGGUGUGCUCGAGUGGCGAACGGGUGAGUAACACGUGAGUAACCUGCCCUUGACUUUGGGAUAACUUAAGGAAACUAGAGCUAAUACCAUAUAGCAUCUCCUGCUGCAUUGUGGGGGUUGGAACGUUUCGGCGGUUGUGGAUGGACGCGCGGCUUAUCAGCUUGUUGGUUGGGGAGUGGCUUACCAACGGUUUGACGGGUAGCCGGCCUGAGAGGGUGACCGGCCACCUGGGGCCUGCGAGACGGACCAGUGGCGUACGUGAGGCAGCAGUGGGGAACCUGGUACAACGGGACCAAGUCGGAGGCAGCAACGCCGCGGGUGGGAAGACGGCCUGUUGGUUGUAAAACGCAUCAGCCUGUGACGAAGCGUGAGUGACGGUAAUGGGUAAAGAAGCACCGGCUAACUACGUG
RNAcentral lists this ribosomal RNA (468 nucleotides) under uncultured bacterium. RNAcentral describes it as "partial 16S ribosomal RNA". It matches the Rfam family "Bacterial small subunit ribosomal RNA", at positions 28 to 507 of the family's 1533-position model. The record is from RNAcentral.